GACGAACGCUGGCGGCGUGCUUAACACAUGCAAGUCGAACGGAAAGGCCCUGCUUUUGUGGGGUGCUCGAGUGGCGAACGGGUGAGUAACACGUGAGUAACCUGCCCUUGACUUUGGGAUAACUUCAGGAAACUGGGGCUAAUACCGGAUAGGAGCUCCUGCUGCAUGGUGGGGGUUGGAAAGUUUCGGCGGUUGGGGAUGGACUUGCGGCUUAUCAGCUUGUUGGUGGGGUAGUGGCUUACCAAGGCUUUGACGGGUAGCCGGCCUGAGAGGGUGACCGGCCACAUAGGGACUGAGAUACGGCCCAGACUCCUACGGGAGGCAGGAGUGGGGAAUAUUGCACAAUGGGCGGAAGCCUGAUGCAGCAACGCCGAGUGCGGGAGGACGGCCUUCGGGUUGUAAACCGCUUUCGCGUGUGACGAAGCGUGAGUGACGGUAAUGGGUAAAGAAGCACCGGCUAACUACGU
RNAcentral lists this ribosomal RNA (467 nucleotides) under uncultured bacterium. Its description in RNAcentral is "partial 16S ribosomal RNA". It matches the Rfam family "Bacterial small subunit ribosomal RNA", at positions 28 to 506 of the family's 1533-position model. The record is from RNAcentral.